Pan paniscus (pygmy chimpanzee) is the source of this 621-nucleotide long non-coding RNA. NCBI's taxonomy places the organism in Eukaryota, Metazoa, Chordata, Mammalia, Primates, Hominidae. The record is from Ensembl.
UUGAUGUCAAUUGCAUAUUCCUAAUUCAUACUUUCUUCUCUCCAUUUCAUAAAUAUUUGUUUUCCAGGUAUCACAGAAAGAAUUGAAAGGCAAGGUUGUCAGACAGAUAUGGCAGCUAAGACACCAACUGAGGAAUGUUAUCAAUGUAGCUCCGUGAAAUUGCCAUAUUUUACAUCCUGCAGUUCUGCAGUCAAGUGGUGGUAUUUUUGUCACAGCCCACAUCAAAGCCCAGAUGGCGUGAGGGAGGGAUGGAAAUGGGGCUCCAUAACCCCCAGGAACUCUGAAGAUUUCAUCUCCUAAGUGGUAUUGUCCAUCUGUUUCUGCAACUUCCUUAGCAACUUGACAAGAGCCAGAAUCCAGACGCUGGGAAAUGUGAAUGUUCCAACAUGGCUGACCAUCAUGGAAUGAGAUCAACAGAUGGAAAUAGGAGGCUUCAUCUUCUUCAUCUUUGUCCUGAGGCUCCAUCAGCCAGGUUUCCAGCACACAUUAAACCCAGUGCCACCCUUUCCCUGGGACCAGCAGACAAUUGUACCCAUUAUUUUCUGGUUCUAAGGAAGGAUAAACUUCCUUCUAAGGCUUCAGGGAUGACAGAUGCCUUCUUGGGUAAGUGAGGAGACUGAA